Long non-coding RNA from Pecten maximus, 4410 nucleotides. RefSeq lists it as uncharacterized. The record is from RefSeq and is a predicted model, not a curated record. NCBI's taxonomy places the organism in Eukaryota, Metazoa, Mollusca, Bivalvia, Pectinida, Pectinidae. The transcript has 2 exons.
UUCGGGUACUCCGGCUUUCCUCCACCUCCAAAACCUGGCACGUCCUUAAAUGUCCCUGGCUGUUAAUAGGACGUUAAUAUAAACAAAAUAAACAAACAAGUAUGUACAGGAGUCCUGUGGUCGGGUAGGGUGUUGAAACUGAAUUGUGUGCAUUGUGAUUACACACAAUUUUAAAUUGCAUGCAAGUACUAAAUAAAAGUGAGUAUAAUUAUAUGCUUCACCUCUGAUAUACAGACUUUACCUGACUUAAUCUGAUGGCUAACUCCCUGGAUAUUUGAUUAGAUGAAAUGCUAUACAAUGUAAGGCCAGGCACAGAGUAAUGUAAACUUAAUUCAUUUUUCAAAACAAGUUAUAACAACUUAUAUUUAUCACCCUUGUUGGCCCAAGUGUACAUGUAAGUGUGUGAGGUGUAGGUGAUCCCAUACCUUUUCACAUCCAAUCAGUGAAUUGAACUGUGGCUGCUUAUGUGAAAAGCAAACUUAUUACCACUGUGCCACCUAACACAGUACAACAUGCCUAUUGAGUAUCCAUAUCACCCAUCCCUUUCACCAUAGGUUAAAUUAUCCCCCAUCCUCUCCCAUCAAAAGAUUGAUUAUCCCAUCCCCUACCUCGCAUUCCCUCUAACUGAUAGAUGGACUACCCCUGUCACUCCCAGUCCCAACCUCCCACUCUCCCAUUAAAGGUUGGAAUAUCCCAUCCCCCACCUCACAUUCCCUCUAACUGAUGGAUGGACUACCCCAUCACUCCCAGUCCCAACCUCCCACUCUCCCAUUAAAGGUUGGAAUAUCCCAUCCCUGCCUCACAUUCCCUCUAACUGAUGGAUGGACUACCCCUGUCACUCCCAGUCCCAACCUCCCACUCUCCCAUCAAAGGUUGGAAUAUCCCAUCCCUGCCUCACAUUCCCUCUAACUGAUGGAUGGACUACCCCAUCACUCCCACCCCAACCUCCCAACCUCCACUCUCCCAUCAAAGGUUUGGAUAUCCCGUCCCCCACCUCGCAUUCCCUCUAACUGAUGGAUGGACUACCCCUGUCACUCCCACCCCAACCUCCCACUCUCCCAUCAAAGGUUUGGAUAUCCCAUCCCUGCCUCACAUUCCCUCUAACUGAUGGAUGGACUACCCCAUCACUCCCAGUCCCAACCUCCCACUCUCCCAUCAAAGGUUUGGAUAUCCCAUCCCUGCCUCACAUUCCCUCUAACUGAUGGAUGGACUACCCUUGUCACUCCCAGUCCCAACCUCCCAUCAAAGGUUUGCUCUAGAUGUAUAGUACCCAAUUAAGCUAUAUAGCACAUGAAAAGUUACACUAUUGUGAUGUCAUAAAUCAGUGAAAUCAUACUGUAUUUGUUUAAAAUGAAAAUUAAUUUUUCAUGAAUUAUCACUUCAUAUAAAAUCAGUAAAGUAAUUAAGUUUUUUUUCAUUCAAUAUGAUGUUGAACACUUACUUACUAAUCUAUUUUUUGUACUAUCGUGUUACAAACUGAUGAACAGUGUUCAUUCAUUUUAUUCCAUACUAUUAAUAAUCAUUAUAUAUGAUAUGAUGGAUAUACAUGUAGGCUCCUUGGUAUUAUGGUCAGGUGACACACGAAAGAUUGGACUUUGACAGUCAUUUACGUGUUGGACCGGCUUCUGAUUUAUAAUGAGUAAAAAUUCUUUGAUAAUUACAUGUGGCCAUUUUAUGUUGAACUUCUUACUGGUCACAGCAUUAUGUGAAUCAUUUGUUUAUUAUUUAUAUCUUCAUUGUCUUAUGGUUGUUAGAAAAAGUAACUUUAUCAAGUCUAGACUAUGGUUAAACAUCUUCAUACUAGAAACAUUUCAUUUUUGCAAAUAUUGCUCUUUUUUUUUUGUUAACUUGUCUAUUAUUACUUAUAAAUAUUGAUAUACUGAAAGUUAUUACAGGGUUGUAAUUUAUAAUUUCAUGUUGGUCCCUUUUUAACAAUAUUGUUAUCAUUUGUAAUUUACAGAAUGUGACAUUUUGAGAUAAAUUUUUGCUUAUAGAUAUAUGUACCAUAAAUAUGGAUUGGAUGAUAUGAUGUAUCUACAUGUACUUCAUUUAUUGAAAUCAAUGUUGGGAUUGAACUCCUCCAUAAAAAUGCUGAGAAAUUAUUACAUUAUUGAAAGUGAAAAAAACAGUUCACAGUUCAAUCAAUCUGCUAAAAGUGAUACAUAACUUUCACCCAGUGUAAAAUGAAAUUGAUAUAUUUUUUUUCUCGACAGAAAUAUAAUUAUGUAACAAUGCAUCCAAAGCCUUGUUACCAUACAGAUUUCUUCCGUAUAGUAAGUACUAUCAACAUAUAUUUGAUAACUUUUUUAUGUGAUUUGCUUUUCAUAUAAAAAUAGGUACAUUGUCCUCUGCUAUACUCUUGUUGUUUAUUUAAAAUCCUUUUGUCACCUGUGAAACAUACUCUGUAGAGCAGCUACAAAAACAUUCACCAUGAAUUACGUUGGACACAUGUCAAAUCAAGGCUAGAUUACAUCUGUUUAGAAUGAGAUUUCUGAUGAACUUGUUCUAUUAAGAUUCAGAAGAAAAACAUUGAUGUUUUGUGCCAAUAUAUCCAGUGUAUUUUACAUUUUUGAUACCUUUCUAUGUUUGUAUAGUAUGUACUGUAGUAAAGAGUUUACUGUGUAGAUGUUGUUACUAGAUACAAUAUAGGGGUAUACAAUCCUAGACUUAUUUAUAUUUGUUAAAAUAUGAUCGGCUUUGGGAUAAUUAAUUUACUCAUGAAACAAACUCCUUUAACAUAAUAGCAUAGCUAAUUGUCUGAUAUAUCUGGGCUAGGGACAUAUAUAGUUAAUGGUCUGACAUACCCGGGCCAGGGACAUAGUUAACAAUCUGAUAUACCUGGGCCAGGGACAUAGUAAACAAUCUGAUAUACCUGGGCCAGGGACAUAGUUAACAAUCUGAUAUACCUGGGCCAGGGACAUAGUUAACAAUCUGAUAUACCUGGACCAGGGACAUAAUUAACAAUCUGAUAUACCUGGGCCAGGGACAUAGUUAACAAUCUGAUAUACCUGGACCAGGGACAUAAUUAACAAUCUGAUAUACCUGGGCCAGGGACAUAUAUAGUUAAUUGUAUGAUAUACCUGGGCCAAGGACAUGGUCAACAAUCCGAUAUACUUGGGCCAGGGACAUAGUUAACAAUCUGAUAUACCUGGGCCAGGGACAUAGUUAACAAUCUGAUAUACCUGGGCCAGGGACAUAGUUAACAAUCUGAUAUACCUGGACCAGGGACAUAAUUAACAAUCUGAUAUACCUGGGCCAGGGACAUAUAUAGUUAAUUGUAUGAUAUACCUGGGCCAAGGACAUGGUUAACAAUCCGAUAUACUUGGGCCAGGGACAUGGUUAACAAUCUGAUAUACUUGGGCCAGGGACAUAGUUAACAAUCCGAUAUACCUGGGCCAGGGACAUAGUUAACAAUCCGGUAUACCUGGGCCAGGGACAUUGUUAACAAUCUGAUAUACCUGGGCCAGGGACAUAUAUAGUUAAUUGUAUGAUAUACCUGGGCCAAGGACAUGGUUAACAAUCCGAUAUACUUCGGCCAGGGACAUAGUUAACAAUCUGAUAUACCUGGGCCAGGGACAUAGUUAACAAUCUGAUAUACCUGGGCCAGGGACAUAGUUAACAAUCUGAUAUACCUGGACCAGGGACAUAAUUAACAAUCUGAUAUACCUGGGCCAGGGACAUAUAUAGUUAAUUGUAUGAUAUACCUGGGCCAAGGACAUGGUUAACAAUCCGAUAUACUUGGGCCAGGGACAUAGUUAACAAUCCGGUAUACCUGGGCCAGGGACAUAGUUAACAAUCCGAUAUACCUGGGCCAGGGACAUAGUUAACAAUCUGAUAUACCUGGGCCAGGGACAUACAUAGUUAUUGGUCUGAUAUACCUUGUUAUGAGAUGCAGUUAAUAGUCUGAUACAUCUAUAUAUAGCUAGGCCAAUGAGUAGUUAAUGUUCUGAUACAACUGGUCCAUGGGGGUAGUUAAUGUCACCUGGAUCAGCGACGCAGUUAAUAGUCUGAUAUGCUUGGACAAGGGACUGAUUUGUCAAAAAUGUCUGGUUGACCUGAAUCCAGGACUUUGUUGAUAACUGGCAUAUGGAUUUAGUAAAGAGAGGUCAAAUCACUGGUAAAACUGAAUUACGGACGUUUUUAAUUGUCUAGUAAAACUUAACUAAAGCACUAUAUUUAACAUGUAUGCUAAAAAUUAUUAUAUUCUUAGUUUAUUAUCUGUUAAUGAAAUUAGAUUUUGGAAUUAGUCCAAUUUGUUUAACUUAAAGUUGGGUUAUAAACCUUUGAAAAACUGUUAUAAGUGAAGUACUGUUGUUAGGAAUUUAUAUAAAUCUAUAGAAAUGAGAUUCAUGUUGUAAUGGUGUCAACUUGUUAUUACCUUAAAGCAUUAAAUAUUUGCUAAAUGUUAAA